This 490-nucleotide ribosomal RNA is filed under the name uncultured bacterium. RNAcentral describes it as "bacterial SSU rRNA". It matches the Rfam family "Bacterial small subunit ribosomal RNA", at positions 15 to 518 of the family's 1533-position model. The record is from RNAcentral.
GAUUCUGGCUCAGAACGAACGCUGGUGGCGUGUCUAUACAUGCAAGUCGAGCGAGGCAGCAAUGCCGAGCGGCGAACGGGUGAGUAACGCGUAAGCAAUCUGCCCCAUAUCAGGAAAUACCCGUGCCAACGCACGGUUAAUGUCCAGGAGAGUGGCCCUCCGCAUGGAGGGUUGACUAGAGAUUUAUCGGUAUGGGAUGAGCUUGCGUCCGAUUAGCUAGUUGGCGGGGCAACGGCCCACCAAGGCGACGAUCGGUAGCCGGCCUGAGAGGGUGAUCGGCCACAUUGGGACUGAGAUACGGCCCAGACUCCUACGGGAGGCAGCAGUAGGGAAUAUUGCACAAUGGGGGAAACCCUGAUGCAGCAACGCCACGUGUGGGAAGAAGCAUUUCGGUGUGUAAACCACUGUCAUGAGGGAAUAAGGCCCGCCUUCGGACGGGAUUGAAUGUACCUUGAGAGGAAGCACCGGCAAACUUCGUGCCAGCCGCAGC